This 249-nucleotide ribosomal RNA is filed under the name uncultured bacterium. Its description in RNAcentral is "partial 16S ribosomal RNA". It matches the Rfam family "Bacterial small subunit ribosomal RNA", at positions 524 to 769 of the family's 1533-position model. The record is from RNAcentral.
UACGUAGGGGGCAAGCGUUUGUCCGGAAUCAUUGGGCGUAAAGCGCGUGUAGGCGGCUCGAUAAGUCUGCUGUGAAAGUCCAGGCUCAACCCUGGGAUGCCGGUGGAUACUGUCGAGCUCGAGUCCGGAAGAGGCGAAGUGGAAUUCCUGGUGUAGCGGUGAAAUGCGCAGAUAUCAAGGAGGAACACCGAUGGCGAAGGCAGAUCUCUGGGCCGUAACUGACGCUGGAGGAGCGAAAGCGUGGGGAGC